Trifolium pratense (red clover) is the source of this 537-nucleotide long non-coding RNA. RefSeq lists it as uncharacterized. The transcript has 3 exons. The record is from RefSeq and is a predicted model, not a curated record. NCBI's taxonomy places the organism in Eukaryota, Viridiplantae, Streptophyta, Magnoliopsida, Fabales, Fabaceae.
UUGAAUUGGACUCAGGUUUUGUUGUGCUUGGUUUUUCAACAAACCCAACAUUAUGGUUACUUGGAAUUUAAGGAACAGAUGAAAUAAUGUCAUGUCUCUUUCCAAGCAGAUGAAUGGUUUAGUGACUCACAUUUAUAGAGAAGGGAAUCAAGUUACAGUCUGUCUUGCAAAUCAUGAAUUGAUAUAACAAGAUACAAAGAAAUGGCUCAAAAACAAAAGUUUUUCAUGCUAGUCUUGAUGAUGGUUCUUCUAUUCUCAGCAGGUAUGCACAAAACUGAAUGUAGACAAGUUGUAGUUGUUAAAUGCAUUGGAACAUGUCCAGGUUUUCAUGAUUGUGAAGUGGAAUGCAAACAUAAGGGCUAUACAAAAGGGGGAUGCCUUCCUCCUAAGUAUUACUAUUGUUGUUGUAGUACUUAAUUUCAACUAUUACCUUGGAAAUUAGAGGUUUUCUUGGAGUUGAAAUAAAAUGUUGUUUCAUAAAUAAUAGUAUAUUAUAAGCUUCAUUAUUACAUAUUAAAAACUUGAUAUGUUAUCAAG